CCACACUCCUUCAAUUCAGUAGUUAGUUACAUUUAGCUAGAUUACAUAUUGUGUGUUAUUUCUUAUCAUUGUGUAAAUAAAUACUUUGAUUAUUGUGGGUGCAGCCUAGCUCACUCACUAGCUUUAGGACCUCAAAGUUCUUUCGUACUCGACACAAAAGUUCAGAAACAAGAGUCUGUAUUCCGAAAUUCUUCUUUUGUAAGUUUACUUAAAAUGAUUCAAAUAAUACAGUAUAAAAUUCAGGAUUAUACUUUUCUAACAAGUUAACUGGCAUUAGGUGUAGAUAAAAAGACUGUGUUGCUCCAAGGUCCAAUAGCUUCUGACUGCUUCGCUGUGUUUCUUGUUGUUUCAUAUCAAAUCAAACAGCCAAUCAAAUUACGUUAUUCUUAGCGUCACUGGUCAACUAUCAAUAUUUCCAUUUCUACAUUACACAUGCAACACAAUGUCUUCUUAGUUCUCAUAAGUAUCAUUCAAUCUUACAUUUUCAAUCUACAAUUAUUACAAAACUGUUAUUUCCACAGAAAUGCCUUCAACAAUUAUAUACGCUGGUCUAUUUAAUGUUACGCAAGAAUGGACGUUGUCAACCUCUUCUAUUCAGAACUCUAAUGACCUUCAACCUUGCUAUUAAUAAGGUGUCCAAUCGGGUGAGACUAUCAACAUAUUGUUGCUGUUGCAAGGACAGCACCAGUGUGCCCUCGCGAAGAGGGUAUCACAAAUUGCACCCACAUUCACCCGGCGCCUGCUCACAGGCGCAAGAAAGUCCGUCCAGAGCCAGUGCCAGAAGCGGUGUUUUCCAGACUGUACUCCAGAGCAGGGGUUCUCAAACUUUUGCAAGCUGGGCCCCCCCAAAGCUGGUUAGGGGUAGUUGGGGCCCCCCCAGCGCGCGGCCCGCCGCCACCACCCUCAACUACACCACCAUAUAUAGAUAGAUAGAUAGAUAGAU
Molecule: long non-coding RNA, 943 nt
Organism: Clupea harengus (Atlantic herring)
Lineage: Eukaryota; Metazoa; Chordata; Actinopteri; Clupeiformes; Clupeidae
Source: Ensembl